UUAGGUAGUCAAAUUACUUGCUUCAAACGUAAAUAUAUUGCCCUGAGUUGAAACACUAUGUAAUUAUGAAUAUUAGGUUGAAAAAUGAAUUUAAAUCCUGGAUGGUUAUUUCAUUCAGUGAUUUUAAUAUUGGCUGUCUCUCGAACUAUAACAUCUUCAGUUGAUUAUUUCCCUUGCCCUUAUGAACAUCGAUUUAAUUCCUGUAAAAUAGAAGAUUUGAUAAUUCACCCUUGUAAUCGAGGCCUCUUUGAUCAUCAUUGCAAUCUAUACUCUAUGAAAUCCACAGUUAUGGUUGUAAUUUGGACCUCUCCCAUGAAGUGUAAAACAGCGACUUGGAAUUUAUACGUUCAUCUACCCAAUGGUUACCAAAGUAUUGUCAAUGAUACAGACGCUUGUCAUUAUACAAGAUGUCCAUUUGAUGGAGAAAGACGAAUGUUGAUUUACGAAUUUCGAAUACCUGCUCAUUUUGGAUCUCAAAUUUACGAAUUUAUGGUGGUUUUGAGAGGUAGAAAAGGCAUCCAUGCUUGCUGCACCUGUUUCAAAGCGAAUGUCGUGAAUGAAGAUAUCAAUUUAACUCCCUUAAGUGAAAGUA
Long non-coding RNA from Planococcus citri (citrus mealybug), 592 nucleotides. RefSeq lists it as uncharacterized. NCBI's taxonomy places the organism in Eukaryota, Metazoa, Arthropoda, Insecta, Hemiptera, Pseudococcidae. The record is from RefSeq and is a predicted model, not a curated record. The transcript is spliced from 4 exons.